This 468-nucleotide ribosomal RNA is filed under the name uncultured bacterium. RNAcentral describes it as "partial 16S ribosomal RNA". It matches the Rfam family "Bacterial small subunit ribosomal RNA", at positions 28 to 507 of the family's 1533-position model. The record is from RNAcentral.
GACGAACGCUGGCGGCGUGCUUAACACAUGCAAGUCGAACGGGAAGGCCCUGCUUUUGUGGGGUGCUCGAGUGGCGAAAGGGUGAGUAACACGUGAGUAACCUGCCCUUGACUUUGGGAUAACUUCAGGAAACUGGGGCUAAUACCGGAUAGGAGCUCCUGCUGCAUGGUGGGGGUUGGAAAGUUUCGGCGGUUGGGGAUGGACUCGCGGCUUAUCAGCUUGUUGGUGGGGUAGUGGCUUACCAAGGCUUUGACGGGUAGCCGGCCUGAGAGGGUGACCGGCCACAUUGGGACUGAGAUACGGCCCAGACUCCUACGGGAGGCAGCAGUGGGGAAUAUUGCACAAUGGGCGGAAGCCUGAUGCAGCAACGCCGCGUGCGGGAUGACGGCCUUCGGGUUGUAAACCGCUUUCGCCUGUGACGAAGCGUGAGUGACGGUAAUGGGUAAAGAAGCACCGGCUAACUACGUG